AUUGAACGCUGGCGGCAGGCUUAACACAUGCAAGUCGAGCGGGGUGAUGGUGCUUGCACUAUCACUUAGCGGCGGACGGGUGAGUAAUGCAUAGGAAUCUGCCUAUUAGUGGGGGACAACAUCUCGAAAGGGAUGCUAAUACCGCAUACGUCCUACGGGAGAAAGCAGGGGAUCACUUGUGACCUUGCGCUAAGAGAUGAGCCUAAGUCGGAUUAGCUAGUUGGUGGGGUAAAGGCCUACCAAGGCGACGAUCUGUAGCGGGUCUGAGAGGAUGAUCCGCCACACUGGGACUGAGACACGGCCCAGACUCCUACGGGAGGCAGCAGUGGGGAAUAUUGGACAAUGGGGGGAACCCUGAUCCAGCCAUGCCGCGUGUGUGAAGAAGGCCUUAUGGUUGUAAAGCACUUUAAGCGAGGAGGAGGCUCUUUUGGUUAAUACCCAAGAUGAGUGGACGUUACUCGCAGAAUAAGCACCGGCUAACUCUGUGCCAGCAGCCGCCGUAA
Molecule: ribosomal RNA, 503 nt
Filed under: uncultured bacterium
Lineage: Bacteria
Description: partial 16S ribosomal RNA
Rfam family: Bacterial small subunit ribosomal RNA
Source: RNAcentral